Molecule: ribosomal RNA, 757 nt
Filed under: uncultured archaeon
Lineage: Archaea
Description: bacterial SSU rRNA
Rfam family: Archaeal small subunit ribosomal RNA
Source: RNAcentral
GGAUAAUCUACCCUUAGGACCGGGAUAACCCUGGGAAACUGGGGCUAAUACUGGAUAGGCAAUUUUUCCUGCAAUGGUUUUUUGUUUAAAUGUUUUUUCGCCUAAGGAUGAGUCUGCGGCCGAUUAGGUAGUUGGUUAGGUAAUGGCUUACCAAGCCGUUGAUCGGUACGGGUUGUGAGAGCAAGAGCCCGGAGAUGGAACCUGAGACAAGGUUCCAGGCCCUACGGGGUGCAGCAGGCGCGAAACCUCCGCAAUGUGAGAAAUCGCGACGGGGGGAUCCCAAGUGCCAUUCUUAACGGGAUGGCUUUUCAUUAGUGUAAAGAGCUUUUGGAAUAAGAGCUGGGCAAGACCGGUGCCAGCCGCCGCGGUAACACCGGCAGCUCUAGUGGUAACAAUUUUUAUUGGGCCUAAAGCGUCCGUAGCCGGUUUAAUAAGUCUCUGGUGAAAUCCUGUAGCUUAACUGUGGGAAUUGCUGGAGAUACUAUUAGACUUGAGACCGGGAGAGGUUAGAGGUACUCCCAGGGUAGAGGUGAAAUUCUGUAAUCCUGGGAGGACCGCCUGUUGCGAAGGCGUCUAACUGGAACGGUUCUGACGGUGAGGGACGAAAGUUAGGGGCGCGAACCGGAUUAGAUACCCGGGUAGUCCUAACUGUAAACGAUGCGGACUUGGUGUUGGGGUGGCUUUGAGCCGCUCCAGUGCCGAAAGGAAGCUGUUAAGUCCGCCGCCUGGGAAGUACGGUCGCAAGACUGAAACUUAA